Molecule: unclassified non-coding RNA, 884 nt
Filed under: Bombus terrestris (buff-tailed bumblebee)
Lineage: Eukaryota; Metazoa; Arthropoda; Insecta; Hymenoptera; Apidae
Description: misc RNA ENSBTSG00005023255.1
Source: RNAcentral
CUUCGAAGGUUCUCUUCGAAGAUCCAUGGAUACCUUAUGUGCGUCGACCUCUCGUCUCUUUCACCGCUCUCGGUCGUUCUCGAAACGUGCUUCCUACCCAUAGGGCGUGUGCUCUUCGUAUGUCGUUUUGUUCGAAAUAACGAAACCACUUGUAACAUACUCGUGGAUCGGGUAACCUAGAACGAAAACGCAUUGCGUGGAUGUUGGCCCGCUAUGAUAAUGAUAUAAUGAUGAUGAUGAUGAUGAUGAUGACGAUGACUAUGAUGACGAUGCGUAGCAACGAUUCGUAACUAGUCUAGCCGAAGUUGGUUCGGAGGGGACCGCAGGCUGUCUAUCCUCGAUGUCGUGAGUCGGACACCCGUGCCGUCGCUAGAGCUUUUUCAAAGCUCGGCUUCUGGAUAUUGGGAAGAAAGACCGCUCGAGGACGACGGCUGCGCGUGCGUCCCAUCGAAUUUUUUUUUAUACCACCUGAACGACUAAAGUUUCGUCUAGUUCGUUGCCUACCGUCGCAUAUAAUCCCGUUCAGAGGGGACCGCAGACUGUCUAUCCUCGUUGUCGUGAGUCGGACACCCGUGCCGUCGCUAGAGUUUUUUCAAAGCUCGGCUUCUGGAUAUUGGGAAGAAAGACCGCGCGAGGCCGAGGGUCGCGCGAGUCCCAUCGAAUCUUUACAUCACCCGAACGAUGGAGGCGCACGCUCUUUUUCUUGAAUAAUUGGACGAGAGGAAUGCGUAGUAUCGUAUUAUAUACACACACACACAUAUAUAUAUAUAUAUAUAUGGGCUAGCCACCGUGCGUAUUUCUUCGCGAGAUCGUGUGCUGAACAGAGGAUUCAGAAUCGGGUGUUAUAUCCCCGUCGUUUCCUGACGAACGGAGCUUCGAUCUCG